UUCCCUUUGACCAAGACAGCGGCUAGCAGAAACGUGUGUUAGCAGACCGUCGUAGUUGUGUUGAGAAGGAGGUAAAAUGUGUAAAGUCCAGUGCUGAGAGCGUUGGUGGAGCAGCGACUAACUGCGGCUGCUGAAGAGAUAUUUGGGCUGUUUGAAAGAACGAUAGCAGAGUACGAGGAGGAACUUUGUCGUUCAAAAGAGGAGAACGUGCGCCAACGGGCACAGCUGGACGCUAUUUUCAAACCUCAGCUCCGGUUACACAGAGCAGACUUCUCAUAGCGGCUCUCCACUUCACUAACAAUGGAGACAGAGACGUAACCCGAACAAUCAGUGGUGAGGCAGUCCGUUACCCCCGGUUACGUAAGGGUUCGACCCAUAAAAGAAAACAUCAUACGAUGCAUCGGCCCUGAUGGUCUCACUGAGAGAGGGAUACAUAAGGUCACCACAGGAAAUCAAAGAAGACAGCCCCAUCCUGUCCUCGGCUGGACCUGCCCCUCUUUCCACGCAUCACAAGGUCGCCAAGGAUGAGAUGUUCAGCAGUUGUUGAUGGUUAAAGAAGAGGUUCCCCCUGAGCAGCAGGAGUGUAGCUCCAGUUUGGACCAUCAGGAGCCAGAGUCCCCCUCACACAUUAGAGAGGAACAGGAGGAACUGUGGAGCAGUCAGGAGGGAGAGCAGCUUCAAGGGCUGGAGGAGGCUUAUUUCCCCAAGUUCCCAUUCACUCCUGUCCCUGUGAAGAGUGAAGAUGAUGAAGAGGAAGCUCAGUCCUCACAGCUUCAUCAAAGACAAACUCAACACAUGGAAACCGAAGCUGAUGGAGAGGACGGUGGAGGACCAGACCGA
Molecule: long non-coding RNA, 840 nt
Organism: Etheostoma spectabile (orangethroat darter)
Lineage: Eukaryota; Metazoa; Chordata; Actinopteri; Perciformes; Percidae
Exons: 4
Source: RefSeq, a predicted model, not a curated record